Molecule: transfer RNA, 76 nt
Filed under: Candidatus Roizmanbacteria bacterium CG_4_10_14_0_2_um_filter_36_35
Lineage: Bacteria; Candidatus Roizmaniibacteriota
Also listed under: 4 other names
Description: tRNA-Phe
Rfam family: tRNA
About the family: Transfer RNA (tRNA) molecules are approximately 80 nucleotides in length. Their secondary structure includes four short double-helical elements and three loops (D, anti-codon, and T loops).
Source: RNAcentral
GCCGAGGUAGCCAAGGUGGUCACGGCGGAGGUCUGAAAAACCCCAGAUGUCAGUUCGACUCUGACCCUCGGCACCC